This 200-nucleotide ribosomal RNA is filed under the name uncultured bacterium. Its description in RNAcentral is "partial 16S ribosomal RNA". It matches the Rfam family "Bacterial small subunit ribosomal RNA", at positions 334 to 526 of the family's 1533-position model. The record is from RNAcentral.
UACUCCUACGGGAGGCAGCAGUAGGGAAUCUUCCACAAUGGGCGCAAGCCUGAUGGAGCAACGCCGCGUCUGUGAUGAAGGCUUUCGGGUCGUAAAGCACUGUUGUAUGGGAAGAAAUGCUAAAAUAGGGAAUGAUUUUAGUUUGACUGUACCAUACCAGAAAGGGACGGCUAAAUACGUGCCAGCAGCCGCGGUAAUAA